This 1280-nucleotide long non-coding RNA is filed under the name Anas platyrhynchos platyrhynchos (common mallard). RNAcentral's name for it is "lncRNA (ENSAPLG00000024056.1)". Lineage: Eukaryota; Metazoa; Chordata; Aves; Anseriformes; Anatidae. The record is from RNAcentral.
AGAGGGGAACGGCAGCAAGGGGCUGCUGGCCAGCUGCAUCCCCCCGUGCCUCUGCCUUCCCCUGUGUGUCAGGGCCAUGCGUGGGGGUCCCCUUGGGACCUGGUGGGGGGGCAUGGGACAGCACACAGCACAUCACCACAUCCUUCUGUCUCUCUGUCCCUCUGCAGCCAGAGCCGAAGGAGGAGAGGCACAAAGCUGCGGCAGGAGGUGAGCCCUUUCUCAGGGGAACCUUGCCCCAUCCUGAUGUGAUGCUCAGCCUUCAAGACCCCCCAGCUGGGCUGCCAGGGGCACCGUGGUACUCCAGCCCCACGUGUGCCCCCCAGCAGCCCACGUCCUCACCCCGGGGAGGUCCCCAAAGCCCGUUCUGCUGUGGGAGGCGACCCUUCUUUGCUUGGUCCUCUGCCCCAGCCGGCUGUAGGAUGAUUGCUGCAUUUCCUUUUCCCCCUUCUCUUUGUGAAUAAACCUGAGCAGGCACAAAAGGGACUAAAACCCAGGCGAAGGUGAAAGGGAACGUUUCAGCUGCCCCGAGCAUCCCGGGAACAGUGGAGCCAGUAGCUGCUGAGGGGCAGCCAGAGCCUGUGGCCACCGUCCUCCCUCGUCCCCUGGCUGGGGACAGCAGCAGCAUGUUUGGAUGGUUUGUCCAGGGGCUGGAGAAGGUGAUGCCACAGCCUGUGAGCAGGGAGAAGCAGGACACGCAGGGAGCAGCAGCGGCAGCCUUCAGCCCCGUGGAAGAAAUUCAUAUCGUCCCUGUGGAGGUUGUGGAGACAGACCUAGUCGUGGAGGACAUCGAUGAUGACUGGAGUGAUGAAGUAGCUCACGAGCCAACGGCCUGGGAUGGCCUGGCUGAGCUGGUGGCCCAGGGUCGUCCUCUGCCCCCCAUAGAGGAGGAACUUCAGGAAGAAGAGACCAGGCUGUGCUCCUGCCCCCUGAGUGCUGCUGAGGAGGAGCAGGAGGAGCAGGAGGAGCAGCAGGAGCAGGAGGAGGAGGAGGAGGAGGAGGAGGAAGCGGAGGAGAAGAAGGAAGAGGAGGAGGUGGAGGAGAGCGUGGGGUGAGUCCGUGCAGGGUCUGUGAGUGCCUUCAGCUCUUCUCCUGUUUACAGCCUGUCUGGAAACGAGCACACUAGCCAUGGUUGUUUCAGAUGCAUUUACAAGCUGCCGAGAUUGAGACACCUGGGCAAGAGCAAACUCCUCUCUGCAGGGCUGGCCCCAGGACAGGCUUGUGGCCGCUGUGGGGGAGCCCAUCGGGCUGUCAGCUCUGCCCACCCCUGUCCCUGCUGGGCC